GAGAGAAUAGCUCAAUGGUAGAGCAAUAGUUUUCAAAACUAAAGGCUAAAAGUUCAAAUCUUUUUUCUCUUG
Molecule: transfer RNA, 72 nt
Filed under: Wildemania schizophylla
Lineage: Eukaryota; Rhodophyta; Bangiophyceae; Bangiales; Bangiaceae
Description: tRNA-Ser
Rfam family: tRNA
About the family: Transfer RNA (tRNA) molecules are approximately 80 nucleotides in length. Their secondary structure includes four short double-helical elements and three loops (D, anti-codon, and T loops). Further hydrogen bonds mediate the characteristic L-shaped molecular structure. tRNAs have two regions of fundamental functional importance: the anti-codon, which is responsible for specific mRNA codon recognition, and the 3' end, to which the tRNAs corresponding amino acid is attached (by aminoacyl-tRNA synthetases). tRNAs cope with the degeneracy of the genetic code in two manners: having more than one tRNA (with a specific anti-codon) for a particular amino acid; and 'wobble' base-pairing, i.e. permitting non-standard base-pairing at the 3rd anti-codon position.
Source: RNAcentral